GCAUAUCAAUAAGCGGAGGAAAAGAAACCAACAGGGAUUGCCUCAGUAACGGCGAGUGAAGCGGCAAAAGCUCAAAUUUGAAAUCCCGCGGGAGUUGUAAUUUGAAGGUUUCGGGUUCUGAGGCUGUGCGCGCCCAAGUCCAUUGGAACAUGGCGCCUGGGAGGGUGAGAGCCCCGUCCGGCGCUGCGCAGUCUUUUUUUGCGACCCGUUUCCGACGAGUCGAGUUGUUUGGGAAUGCAGCUCAAAGUGGGUGGUAAAUUCCAUCUAAAGCUAAAUAUUGGCGAGAGACCGAUAGCGAACAAGUACAGUGAUGGAAAGAUGAAAAGCACUUUGAAAAGAGAGUGAAACAGUACGUGAAAUUGUUGAAAGGGAAGGGCUUGCAAGCAGACACGGUUUCGGCCGGGCCAGCAUCGGUUUGCCGGGGCGGACAAUGCGGCGGGAAUGUGGCGCGUCUCCUUGUGGGGCGCGUGUUUAUAGCCCGGCGUGAUACGCCCAUGGUAGACCGAGGCCUGCGAUCUAAUCUAGGAUGCUGGCGUAAUGGUUGCAAGCCGCCCGUCUUGAAACACGGACCAAGGAGUCUAACGUCUAUGCGAGUGUUUGGGUGGAUAAAACCCCAGCGCGGAAUGAAAGUAAGAGGUUGGAGCCCCUCUCGGGGGGCGCACAAUCGACCGACCCUGAAGUGCUCGGACGGGUUUGAGUAGGAGCAUAGCUGUUGGGACCCGAAAGAUGGUGAACUAUGCCUGGAUAGGGUGAAGCCAGAGGAAACUCUGGUGGAGGCUCGUAGCGGUUCUGACGUGCAAAUCGAUCGUCGAAUCUGGGUAUAGGGGCGAAAGACUAAUCGAACCAUCUAGUAGCUGGUUCCUGCG
Molecule: ribosomal RNA, 866 nt
Filed under: Clavispora asparagi
Lineage: Eukaryota; Fungi; Ascomycota; Pichiomycetes; Serinales; Metschnikowiaceae
Description: LSU rRNA
Rfam family: Eukaryotic large subunit ribosomal RNA
Source: RNAcentral